GGCUAGUCUGAAGGAAGUAGUGAAUGAUAGCAAUUGGUUGUUCUUCCUUCUCACUACUGUACUUGACUAGUCUCAU
The sequence is a Y RNA, 76 nucleotides long. It matches the Rfam family "Y RNA". From Rfam's summary of the family: Y RNAs are components of the Ro ribonucleoprotein particle (Ro RNP), in association with Ro60 and La proteins. The record is from Ensembl.